GAUGAAGAACGUAGUGAAAUGCGAUACGUAAUGUGAAUUGCAGAAUUCAGUGAAUCAUCGAAUCUUUGAACGCACAUUGCGCCCGCCAGCACUCUGGCGGGCAUGCCUGUUCGAGCGUCAUUUCAACCAUCAAGCCCCAGGCUUGCGUUGGAGCCCUGCGGCUGCCGCAGCCUCCUAAAAGCAGUGGCGGGCUCGCUAUCACACCGAGUGCAGUAGAUUACUCUUCGCUCAGGGCGUGCAGCGGGUUCCGGCCGUGAAACCCCCUACUUUUAAAGGUUGACCUCGGAUCAGGUAGGAAUACCCGCUGAACUUAAGCAUAUCAUAAGCGGAGGA
Molecule: unclassified non-coding RNA, 333 nt
Filed under: soil metagenome
Description: partial contains 5.8S ribosomal RNA, internal transcribed spacer 2, and large subunit ribosomal RNA
Rfam family: 5.8S ribosomal RNA (bases 1-120)
Source: RNAcentral